CACGUGACAAAGACUUGAUCGUAGAUAGGGAGGCUGCAGAGUUUUUGUCUCCAAAAUAAUCAAGCAAGGAAACACCCAGGAGGCACAGGGCCAACCACCCUCCUAGAAGCUGGUGGGGCUGGAAGAUGCGGAGGCCCAGUCUGUGGGCAGCAGCAUGCCUUCUGUGUGGCUCACCUGUCUUUUCCUCCUUCGGGCAUGACACCAGAUAAGAGGUUUCUGACAGACUCUGGGAAACCCGAGGAUGUGCUAUACAAGGAAAUGCAUUUUAAAAGCCGAUCAAGGACAGGACUCUUUGUGAUUUGGCUUGGUGUGCCUGAACUCUCGCCCCAUCUGGGAGUUUUCCUCCGGAACGCUGACAAUAUAUUCUCAGGUUCCGGGAACAGGCUGAGCUGUUUGUAACAACACAGAAGAUUAGUCAACUUGUUAUCCGACUUGUAACUCCUGAAGGCCGGACUGCAGACCCUCCCCUUCCCUCCCACUGUUACAUUUGUAGCUCAAGGCUGCACCUAGUUAUCUCUGUCCUUGCCCAAAUGUAAUCCGCCAACUGGCGAGGGGAGUAACAGAUUUUCGGACUGCUCCCUCAUGUUGCCGGCAUUAUUGGAAUAAAUGCUCAGAUAUGAA
This is a long non-coding RNA of Pipistrellus kuhlii (Kuhl's pipistrelle), 621 nucleotides long. RefSeq lists it as uncharacterized. The transcript is spliced from 2 exons. The record is from RefSeq and is a predicted model, not a curated record. NCBI's taxonomy places the organism in Eukaryota, Metazoa, Chordata, Mammalia, Chiroptera, Vespertilionidae.